This is a long non-coding RNA of Eriocheir sinensis (Chinese mitten crab), 1450 nucleotides long. RefSeq lists it as uncharacterized. NCBI's taxonomy places the organism in Eukaryota, Metazoa, Arthropoda, Malacostraca, Decapoda, Varunidae. The record is from RefSeq and is a predicted model, not a curated record. The transcript has 6 exons.
GCCAACGCUAGUUUGGGCGGGAAUCAGAGACCUUUAUCAUCGGUUGGGAAUGGGAAGUCAGUUUCUUGCACAUUUUUGGCUCCCAAUGUCUUCCAUUGCUUGUUAACACCAACCACGCCACUUUGUUGUCGUCGGCGAGCGUGCACGCUGCAGAAGGAAUACGGGACAGCUGCCAUUCCUGGAGGCUGGAGGGUUCAUUGGACAGGACACCUGCACAGCCGUAUUGCUGGCGGCUACGGUAAAGGUGUCCACCCUACUUUGUGAAUUCAAGACCAUGUCAGGACCUGCAUCAUCCGAGUCUGAUUCAGAACACUCAGGAUCUCCUGUAUCUUCAAGUUUAGGUAGUAGGGCCAUGCUGAUUUCAUCAGAGUCUGAUGAUGACCGUCCUGUCUGCAAGAAGAAGUGCACCUCAGACAUAUCUUCUUGCAGACCUCGCACGUCAUCACGACAGACAGAAAGGGCUCACGGGAUGCUACACUGAGCCUUAUUGCUGAAAGUCUUCCGAGUAGUUUUGAAACACAACACAAGAUGGAGGAGGAUGUGAGUGUGAUCGAUCUUCUCAGGGUCUUGCUGCAGGAGGUGCGAGAUGUGAAGCAGGAGGUGAGAGAGUUGAAGAGCAAGCUCGAGAACUCGUCUGAAUGUACAGAGUCGAUUAUUGAAAACCCUUUUGAUGAACUGAAGUCUUUUGGCUUUUAAGCUACAUCACUGGAAGAAUUACUUGAACGGGAGAAGCAGUUCUCGGAAGGAUGUGAAAAUUCUAAGAAGAACAGGAACGACCUCCUUAAGAUCCUCAUUGAGUUAGCUCCCAAGCCUAAGAAGAAUGCUAAAGUAGCUGCUCUGGAUAUAGUUAGGUCGAUAAUGCAAAGAUUAGCUGAUGAUUCAGUAUGGCAAUAUGUUAGCGCUUUUGGGAAGUCAGGCACAAAAAAGUUGUCAAUGUGCAAAAUGAUGCCUUCAAUUAUGGAUACAGUACUCUUAACAACAAUAAAAACCCUUUCAGUUGAUACUAAAGAGGCAUCAACUGCUCUUUCAACAUAUUUAAAAAAUACUGCUACAAGGGCAGCAGCAAAGAAGCACAAAUUUGAACAUGGAAGAGCCAUACUUCAGAUUGGUAACAGUGUACAUGAGGAAACAUUCCAGUCUGCAAACUCUGUCCAAAGUUCAUGACAACAUGCAGCUGAUGAGGUUAGAGUCUGAUGCAGCACAUGAUUCAGAUUUGGCCUGAAACCAAAUUUGUGGCUAAAAUAAUUUUAUGCAUGUGUUCUUUAUUGAGUGUUAUAUAAGCACUGGUCUCCACUGUCAGUGUCAACUAAGUACAACACAUGCAAAAUAACACAAAACUUUCUUUUUGCUAGCAUCAUAAAUAAUUACAAAUGCCUGAUUCAUAUAAGGUAUAUAGAUAAAAGAGGUACCUUUGCAUAAUGGAUUUCCUUAUGGUAGAAUGCGAUGUAUA